RNAcentral lists this ribosomal RNA (427 nucleotides) under uncultured bacterium. RNAcentral's name for it is "partial 16S ribosomal RNA". It matches the Rfam family "Bacterial small subunit ribosomal RNA", at positions 355 to 774 of the family's 1533-position model. The record is from RNAcentral.
UGGGGAAUUUUCCGCAAUGGGCGAAAGCCUGACGGAGCAAUGCCGCGUGUAUGAAGAAGGCCUUCGGGUUGUAAAGUACUUUCAGCGGGGAGGAAGGUGUUGAGGUUAAUAACCUCAGCAAUUGACGUUACCCGCAGAAGAAGCACCGGCUAACUCCGUGCCAGCAGCCGCGGUAAUACGGAGGGUGCAAGCGUUAAUCGGAAUUACUGGGCGUAAAGCGCACGCAGGCGGUCUGUCAAGUCGGAUGUGAAAUCCCCGGGCUCAACCUGGGAACUGCAUUCGAAACUGGCAGGCUAGAGUCUUGUAGAGGGGGGUAGAAUUCCAGGUGUAGCGGUGAAAUGCGUAGAGAUCUGGAGGAAUACCGGUGGCGAAGGCGGCCCCCUGGACAAAGACUGACGCUCAGGUGCGAAAGCGUGGGGAGCAAACA